Molecule: long non-coding RNA, 758 nt
Filed under: Coturnix japonica (Japanese quail)
Lineage: Eukaryota; Metazoa; Chordata; Aves; Galliformes; Phasianidae
Description: lncRNA (ENSCJPG00005002671.1)
Source: RNAcentral
ACACAAUCACACUCACCCUUACACACUCACUUACACACUGACACACUCACCCUUACACACUCACACUCACCCUUACACACACACUGACACACUCACACUCACCCUUACACACUCAUUUACACACUCACCCUUACACACUCACUGACACACUCAGUGCUGUAUCUCACCCCUAUCCCCAUUCUAUCACACUCACCCUUACACACUCAUUUACACACUCAUUUACACACUCACUUACACACUCAUUGCUGUAUCUCACCCCUGUCCCCAUUCUAUCACACUCACCCUUACACACUCACUGACACACUCAUUUACACACUCAUUUACACACUCACUUACACACUCACUGACACACUCGUUGCUGUAUCUCACCCCUGUCCCCAUUCUAUCACACACAUUCUUACACACUCACUUACACACUCACACUCACCCUUACACACUCAUUUACACACUCAUUUACACACUCACUUACACACUCAUUUACACACUCGUUGCUGUAUCUCACCCCUGUCCCCGCUCUGUCCCCGGUUCCUCCCGUUGUUCUGCCCCGAUCCCAGGAAGUCGAACUCAUUCAGGGCGUCCUCGGAGUCGUCGUCAUCAUCAUCAUCAUCUUCAUCUUCAUCAUCAUCGUCAUUGGCCGCCAUGUCCGGCAGCAGAGGAACAGGGGGGAGCUGGGGGGGAUAUGGGGGUGCAAUAGGGGAUAUAUGGGUCAAUGGGGGAUAAUGGGGUAGUAUGGGGGUAUUGGAGUCAAUUGUGGACAG